AACGCAAACUAAAGUUUCUGCCUCAUUGUUUCUGCAUACAGAAUUUAAGGACACACACACCCCCUGACACCCACCAGGCCAGGGGGGCAACAUGAAGCUCAAUGUGGGCGCCAUCUUGGCUAAUCCAAAAAGGUGGAGCUGAGAUCAACCUGCACAGCUGAGACACCUUAACACUGGAGAAAGAGGAUGAAGAACCCCUGACACCUGCAGUUGCAACAGGAAAGCAGCACCUAACAUGUCUUCUGUCAAGAAACAACACGAGGUACACAUGAGAUGCCGACCCUCCGUGGCCUCCCAGUGAACCUGCUAGUGGAUGACUGACGUCUUCAAAACCUGUAAUGCUCCCUCUGUAAACCAAUACUGAUCCCAAGUAGCAGAGUGGCUGACUGAGCGCCUGAAUGGUAGACUCGCCGACUGUGCCCAGUGGUGGAUAAAUGUGGUUACUAUUCAAUAACUGGGUUAUGAAUUGAUCUGUCUGUUCGUGGCAUGAAUGCGUAAGGCGGCCAGAUCAGUGUGUGGGUGCUGUUUUGUUGUGUGUGUGGGUGUGCAUGUGACAACACUCCUUGUGUCUAUAUGUGAGAAUGUGCAUGUAUUGUAUGUGCCAGUAUAGUGUGUCCAUGUGUGUUUCUCCAAUUUGUCAGGACCUUUAAACCGUGCUUGUUUGUCUAGUGUUGACGUGUGUAUAGUACACUGACUGCUUGUCCUAGUUUUCCUUUGAAAUGCACUUGUGUUCCACUGCCUUUUGUGUUUUCACGUGUCUGUCUCUGUGUGUGCACAGUUUCCAGUCUUCCCUUUUGAUUCUCGUUAAUUUGGGCCAUGUCUUUGCUGAUCACCUGUCUCCAUUUGGACGAUGGAUGGAGGCCUGAUUCCUCAAUAGGUUUCUUCUUUGCCCGAUACAGCUCUAUUAAAUCUAGUCUAAUUUCAUUUUCCUUGGUGAUUUGCCCACAUGUCUCCAGCACACAGGUCUCAAUGAGCUCACGAUUGAAUUGGAUCAAGGCAUAUCAGCUUCUGCAGAGAUCAGACUUAGCUUUAGUGCCAUGGCAGCAGGUGUGUGUUUCUGAUUUGAUUGUGGC
Long non-coding RNA from Micropterus salmoides (largemouth bass), 1073 nucleotides. RefSeq lists it as uncharacterized. The record is from RefSeq and is a predicted model, not a curated record. The transcript is spliced from 4 exons. Lineage: Eukaryota; Metazoa; Chordata; Actinopteri; Centrarchiformes; Centrarchidae.